AACGCUGGCGGCAGGCCUAACACAUGCAAGUCGAACGGUAACAGGAAGCAGCUUGCUGCUUCGCUGACGAGUGGCGGACGGGUGAGUAAUGUCUGGGAAACUGCCUGAUGGAGGGGGAUAACUACUGGAAACGGUAGCUAAUACCGCAUAACGUCGCAAGACCAAAGAGGGGGACCUUCGGGCCUCUUGCCAUCGGAUGUGCCCAGAUGGGAUUAGCUAGUAGGUGGGGUAACGGCUCACCUAGGCGACGAUCCCUAGCUGGUCUGAGAGGAUGACCAGCCACACUGGAACUGAGACACGGUCCAGACUCCUACGGGAGGCAGCAGUGGGGAAUAUUGCACAAUGGGCGCAAGCCUGAUGCAGCCAUGCCGCGUGUAUGAAGAAGGCCUUCGGGUUGUAAAGUACUUUCAGCGGGGAGGAAGGGAGUAAAGUUAAUACCUUUGCUCAUUGACGUUACCCGCAGAAGAAGCACCGGCUAACUCCGUG
This 486-nucleotide ribosomal RNA is filed under the name uncultured bacterium. RNAcentral's name for it is "bacterial SSU rRNA". It matches the Rfam family "Bacterial small subunit ribosomal RNA", at positions 32 to 507 of the family's 1533-position model. The record is from RNAcentral.